GAUGAACGCUGGCGGCGUGCUUAACACAUGCAAGUCGAACGAAGAUGCCGGAGUGCUUGCACUUUGGCAGACUGAGUGGCGGACGGGUGAGUAACGCGUGGGUAACCUGCCUUAUACAGGGGGAUAACAGUUGGAAACGACUGCUAAUACCGCAUAAGCGCACGGUAUCGCAUGAUACAGUGUGAAAAACUCCGGUGGUAUAAGAUGGACCCGCGUCUGAUUAGCUUGUUGGUGAGGUAACGGCCCACCAAGGCGACGAUCAGUAGCCGGCCUGAGAGGGUGAACGGCCACAUUGGGACUGAGACACGGCCCAAACUCCUACGGGAGGCAGCAGUGGGGAAUAUUGCACAAUGGGGGAAACCCUGAUGCAGCGACGCCGCGUGAGUGAUGAAGUAUUUCGGUAUGUAAAACUCUAUCAGCAGGGAAGAUAAUGACGGUACCUGACUAAGAAGCACGGCUAAAUACGUGCCAGCAGCCGCGG
Molecule: ribosomal RNA, 481 nt
Filed under: uncultured bacterium
Lineage: Bacteria
Description: bacterial SSU rRNA
Rfam family: Bacterial small subunit ribosomal RNA
Source: RNAcentral